GCCCUAGAAAGCCCCGCAGGCA
Molecule: transfer RNA, 22 nt
Filed under: Galaxias fuscus (brown galaxias)
Lineage: Eukaryota; Metazoa; Chordata; Actinopteri; Galaxiiformes; Galaxiidae
Description: partial tRNA-Phe
Source: RNAcentral